GACGAACGCUGGCGGCGUGCCUAAUACAUGCAAGUCGAACGCAUUUUCUUUCACCGUAGCUUGCUACACCGAAAGAAAAUGAGUGGCGAACGGGUGAGUAACACGUGGGUAACCUGCCCAUCAGCGGGGGAUAACACUUGGAAACAGGUGCUAAUACCGCAUAAUUCCAUUUACCGCAUGGUAGAUGGAUGAAAGGCGCUUUUGCGUCACUGAUGGAUGGACCCGCGGUGCAUUAGCUAGUUGGUGGGGUAACGGCCUACCAAGGCUGCGAUGCAUAGCCGACCUGAGAGGGUGAUCGGCCAUACUGGGACUGAGACACGGCCCAGACUCCUACGGGAGGCAGCAGUAGGGAAUCUUCGGCAAUGGACACAAGUCUGACCGAGCAACGCCGCGUGAGUGAAGAAGGGUUUCGGAUCGUAAAACUCUGUUGUUAGAGAAGAACAAGGAUGAGAGUGGAAAGUUCAUCCCUUGACGGUAUCUAACCAGAAAGCCACGGCUAACUACGUG
This 507-nucleotide ribosomal RNA is filed under the name uncultured bacterium. RNAcentral's name for it is "partial 16S ribosomal RNA". It matches the Rfam family "Bacterial small subunit ribosomal RNA", at positions 28 to 507 of the family's 1533-position model. The record is from RNAcentral.